ACCCCCAGAACGACCUAAAGAACGUCCAAAACGGACAUCCGGAACCCCUCAAACUAUCAAAAAUAAAAGCAACAGCAGAAAAGGGCGCCCAGCGCCCUUUAGGGGCGCCCGGGCGCCAUAUUUCUGGCAAAACGCCGAAUCAAAGGGCGCCCAGCAUCCUUUAGGGGCGCCCAGGCGUGGAUUCUGCAGAGUUUUCUGCAGAUUGCAAAACUCACCCACCCAAAAUUGGUUCUAGGCUUUUUGAUGAGGUUCUAACCUUCCUAAAUCG
RNAcentral lists this long non-coding RNA (268 nucleotides) under Vigna radiata. RNAcentral describes it as "long non-coding RNA (VRAD_LNC010040)". The record is from RNAcentral. Lineage: Eukaryota; Viridiplantae; Streptophyta; Magnoliopsida; Fabales; Fabaceae.